UACAGAGGUCCCGAGCGUUGUUCGGAUUCACUGGGCGUAAAGGGCGCGUAGGUGGCUCGUUAAGUGGUCGGUGAAAUCCCGGGGCUCAACUCGGAAAUGGCAUUGGAAACUACCUUGCUAGAGGGUUUGAGGGGGGACUGGAAUACUUGGUGUAGCAGUGAAAUGCGUAGAUAUCAAGUGGAACACCAGUGGCGAAGGCGAGUCCCUGGAAAACUCCUGACACUGAGGCACGAAAGCUAGGGGAGCAAACAGG
Molecule: ribosomal RNA, 253 nt
Filed under: uncultured bacterium
Lineage: Bacteria
Description: partial 16S ribosomal RNA
Rfam family: Bacterial small subunit ribosomal RNA
Source: RNAcentral